CGCGUGCACUGGUCCGGCCGGGCCUUUCCCUCUGUGGAACCCCAUGCCCUUCACUGGGCGUGGCGGGGAAACAGGACUUUUACUUUGAAAAAAUUAGAGUGCUCCAGGCAGGCCUAUGCUCGAAUACAUUAGCAUGGAAUAAUAAAAUAGGACGUGUGGUUCUAUUUUGUUGGUUUCUAGGACCGCCGUAAUGAUUAAUAGGGACAGUCGGGGGCAUCAGUAUUCAAUUGUCAGAGGUGAAAUUCUUGGAUUUAUUGAAGACUAACUACUGCGAAAGCAUUUGCCAAGGAUGUUUUCAUUAAUCAGGAACGAAAGUAAGGGGAUCGAAGACGAUCAGAUACCGUCGUAGUCUUUACCAUAAACUAUGCCGACUAGGGAUCGGACGGUGUUAUUUUUUGACCCGUUCGGCACCUUACGAGAAAUCAAAGUGCUUGGGCUCCAGGGGGAGUAUGGUCGCAAGGCUGAAACUUAAAGAAAUUGACGGAAGGGCACCACCAGGGGUGGAGCCUGCGGCUUAAUUUGACUCAACACGGGGAAACUCACCAGGUCCAGACACAAUGAGGAUUGACAGAUUGAGAGCUCUUUCUUGAUUUUGUGGGUGGUGGUGCAUGGCCGUUCUUAGUUGGUGGGGUGACUUGUCUGCUUAAUUGCGAUAACGAACGAGACCUUAACCUGCUAAAUAGCCCGUAUUGCUUUGGCAGUACGCUGGCUUCUUAGAGGGACUAUCGG
RNAcentral lists this ribosomal RNA (729 nucleotides) under uncultured eukaryote. RNAcentral describes it as "SSU rRNA". It matches the Rfam family "Eukaryotic small subunit ribosomal RNA", at positions 670 to 1426 of the family's 1831-position model. The record is from RNAcentral.